RNAcentral lists this ribosomal RNA (253 nucleotides) under uncultured bacterium. RNAcentral's name for it is "partial 16S ribosomal RNA". It matches the Rfam family "Bacterial small subunit ribosomal RNA", at positions 524 to 776 of the family's 1533-position model. The record is from RNAcentral.
UACGUAGGUGGCAAGCGUUGUCCGGAUUUACUGGGCGUAAAGAGCGCGCAGGCGGUCGUUCAAGUCGCGUGUGAAAGCCCCCGGCUCAACUGGGGAGGGUCACGCGAUACUGAUCGACUCGAAGGCAGGAGAGGGUAGUGGAAUUCCCGGUGUAGUGGUGAAAUGCGUAGAUAUCGGGAGGAACACCAGUGGCGAAAGCGGCACCCUGGCAUUAGCCUGACGCUCAGGUGCGAAAGCGUGGGGAGCGAACGGG